This 519-nucleotide ribosomal RNA is filed under the name Enterococcus sp. DS12157/05. RNAcentral describes it as "bacterial SSU rRNA". It matches the Rfam family "Bacterial small subunit ribosomal RNA", at positions 33 to 523 of the family's 1533-position model. RNAcentral also lists the same sequence under 1 other name. The record is from RNAcentral. Lineage: Bacteria; Bacillati; Bacillota; Bacilli; Lactobacillales; Enterococcaceae.
ACGCUGGCGGCGUGCCUAAUACAUGCAAGUCGAACGCUUCUUUUUCCACCGGAGCUUGCUCCACCGGAAAAAGAGGAGUGGCGAACGGGUGAGUAACACGUGGGUAACCUGCCCAUCAGAAGGGGAUAACACUUGGAAACAGGUGCUAAUACCGUAUAACAAUCAAAACCGCAUGGUUUUGAUUUGAAAGGCGCUUUCGGGUGUCGCUGAUGGAUGGACCCGCGGUGCAUUAGCUAGUUGGUGAGGUAACGGCUCACCAAGGCCACGAUGCAUAGCCGACCUGAGAGGGUGAUCGGCCACAUUGGGACUGAGACACGGCCCAAACUCCUACGGGAGGCAGCAGUAGGGAAUCUUCGGCAAUGGACGAAAGUCUGACCGAGCAACGCCGCGUGAGUGAAGAAGGUUUUCGGAUCGUAAAACUCUGUUGUUAGAGAAGAACAAGGAUGAGAGUAACUGUUCAUCCCUUGACGGUAUCUAACCAGAAAGCCACGGCUAACUACGUGCCAGCAGCCGCGGUAA